CCUACGGGCGACAGCAGUGGGGAAUAUUGCACAAUGGGGGAAACCCUGAUGCAGCGACGCCGCGUGAGUGAGGAAGUAUUUCGGUAUGUAAAGCUCUAUCAGCAGGGACGAAAAAAGACGGUACCUGACUAAGAAGCCCCGGCUAACUACGUGCCAGCAGCCGCGGUAAGACGGAGGGGGCAAGCGUGAUCCGGAUUUACGGGGUGUAAAGGGUGCGCAGGCGGGCCGUUAAGCCGGCGGUGAAAUCGCGGGGCUCAACCCCGCCGCGCCGUCGGAACUGGGGGCCUUGAGUGCGGCGGAGGCAUGCGGAAUGCGCGGUGUAGCGGUGAAAUGCAUAGAUAUCGCGCAGAACCCCGAUUGCGAAGGCAGCGUGCCGUGCCGCCACUGACGCUGAGGCACGAAAGCGCGGGGAUCGAACAGGAUUAGAUACCCCAGUAGUC
This 440-nucleotide ribosomal RNA is filed under the name uncultured bacterium. RNAcentral describes it as "partial 16S ribosomal RNA". It matches the Rfam family "Bacterial small subunit ribosomal RNA", at positions 338 to 795 of the family's 1533-position model. The record is from RNAcentral.